GACGAACGCUGGCGGCGUGCUUAACACAUGCAAGUCGAACGGAAAGGCCCUGCUUUUGUGGGGUGCUCGAGUGGCGAACGGGUGAGUAACACGUGAGUAACCUGCCCUUGACUUUGGGAUAACUUCAGGAAACUGGGGCUAAUACCGGAUAGGAGCUCCUGCUGCAUGGUGGGGGUUGGAAAGUUUCGGCGGUUGGGGAUGGACUCGCGGCUUAUCAGCUUGUUGGAGGGGUAGUGGCUUACCAAGGCUUUGACGGGUAGCCGGCCUGAGAGGGUGACCGGCCACAUUGGGACUGAGAUACGGCCCAGACUCCUACGGGAGGCAGCAGUGGGGAAUAUUGCACAAUGGGCGGAAGCCUGAUGCAGCAACGCCGCGUGCGGGAUGACGGCCUUCGGGUUGUAAACCGCUUUCGCCUGUGACGAGGCGUGAGUGACGGUAAUGGGUAAAGAAGCACCGGCUAACUACGUG
RNAcentral lists this ribosomal RNA (468 nucleotides) under uncultured bacterium. Its description in RNAcentral is "partial 16S ribosomal RNA". It matches the Rfam family "Bacterial small subunit ribosomal RNA", at positions 28 to 507 of the family's 1533-position model. The record is from RNAcentral.